Nematolebias whitei (Rio pearlfish) is the source of this 469-nucleotide long non-coding RNA. RefSeq lists it as uncharacterized. The record is from RefSeq and is a predicted model, not a curated record. The transcript is spliced from 4 exons. NCBI's taxonomy places the organism in Eukaryota, Metazoa, Chordata, Actinopteri, Cyprinodontiformes, Rivulidae.
CAGAACCCAACCCAGGUGGGCACAGCGUUGCAAGUCUUUUAUAACCUUGGCAGUUUAAGAGAAACCAUCAACUUUGUUGUGGAAGGCUACAAAACCACCAUAAAGGACAACAUUGGCAGCGCUCUUGACAUCAAGGGUUUAACAAAACCAGCUAACCCCAGAGGUGCUCCUGGCAGAGCAGUGAUGCCAACACCAGGAAACACUGCGGUUUUUCGUGCUGCGUUAUGGACACAUCUGGAGAAACUAAUGGACCAGAUAUGUGCUGCAUGUAGACAGGUGCAGCACCUGCAGAAGGUUUUGAUGAAGAAGAGAGACCCUGUCAGUCAUGUCUGCUUCAUUGAUGACAUUAGCAAGGAUGGUCAACCCGAUAUUCUCUCCACUUUUUGGAACGAUGUAACCAGCACACUGAGUCGUGAGUUUCACAAAGCAACUGAAGGUAAGAGGUGUCUUUUCUUGGUGUUAUGUCUGG